GACCCAAAUUUGAAGUAGGGUAGAUUAGUUAGGGUCAGAUGACCAUAUUAAUCUACACUACUUCAAGUUUGUGCCC
Non-coding RNA from Haemonchus contortus (barber pole worm), 76 nucleotides. NCBI's taxonomy places the organism in Eukaryota, Metazoa, Nematoda, Chromadorea, Rhabditida, Trichostrongylidae. The record is from Rfam.